UAAAACUGUAAAAAAUAAUUCUUGAUUAGUAUUAGUUAUGUUCUUGAAAAUUAAAAAAUUUGGCGGUAUUUUAUUCAAUUCAGAGGAACCUGUCCUAUAAUUGAUAGUCCACGAUUUGAUUUACUUGUUUUUAGUUUGUAUAUCAUUGUUUAUGAAUUUCUUUAUAGGGAAAAUUUUCUUUAAUUUUGAUAAAAAUUAAUUUCAGAUCAAGGUGCAGCUUAUACACAAGUAGAGAUGGGUUACAUUAAAUUUAUUUUUGGUUAUUUAAUUUUAAUAUUAAAUUUAAAUUGGAUUUGAUAGUAAUUAUAAAUAAAUUUUUAUAAUGAUUGUGUUCUAAAAUAUGC
This 344-nucleotide ribosomal RNA is filed under the name Aspisoma sp. CO1069. RNAcentral describes it as "partial 12S ribosomal RNA". Lineage: Eukaryota; Metazoa; Arthropoda; Insecta; Coleoptera; Lampyridae. The record is from RNAcentral.